UACAGAGGGUGCGAGCGUUAAUCGGAUUUACUGGGCGUAAAGCGUGCGUAGGCGGCUUUUUAAGUCGGAUGUGAAAUCCCUGAGCUUAACUUAGGAAUUGCAUUCGAUACUGGGAAGCUAGAGUAUGGGAGAGGAUGGUAGAAUUCCAGGUGUAGCGGUGAAAUGCGUAGAGAUCUGGAGGAAUACCGAUGGCGAAGGCAGCCAUCUGGCCUAAUACUAACGCUGAGGUACGAAAGCAUGGGGAGCAAACAGGAUUAGAUACCCUGGUAGUC
RNAcentral lists this ribosomal RNA (272 nucleotides) under uncultured Pseudomonadales bacterium. Its description in RNAcentral is "partial 16S ribosomal RNA". It matches the Rfam family "Bacterial small subunit ribosomal RNA", at positions 524 to 795 of the family's 1533-position model. Lineage: Bacteria; Pseudomonadati; Pseudomonadota; Gammaproteobacteria; Pseudomonadales. The record is from RNAcentral.